GUUUAGUGAAGAACCUAAUUCUGCUGACCGAUACAGCCAGAGAAGGGAUAAAUGUGGCCAAAGUUCAGCAGGAAAUGGAACAGGAGAUCUUUCUAUUAACAGGAAAGAGAAGGAAGCUUCAGUUUCGAUGGUCAUCAACCAAGACGACCUCAGGCCAACAGCUGUACACAAAUCCACCAAAGAUCUAAUCAGCCACGAGAGACAGACUCUAAGGCUCAAAACCGAAGAACGAUUAAGCUCAUCCCUCUCCAGAGAAAAACCUCAUCCAGUUUCCUCCAUCCCUGUUAUUGUUGACUGGCUCCGAGUGCAGCCCCUUACUCUGUCUCCCAUCUUAACAAGCCCCAAGGAGUGCCCAGCCUGA
Molecule: long non-coding RNA, 361 nt
Filed under: Oryzias javanicus (javanese ricefish)
Lineage: Eukaryota; Metazoa; Chordata; Actinopteri; Beloniformes; Adrianichthyidae
Description: lncRNA (ENSOJAG00000009810.1)
Source: RNAcentral